Syngnathus acus (greater pipefish) is the source of this 994-nucleotide long non-coding RNA. RefSeq lists it as uncharacterized. The transcript is spliced from 2 exons. NCBI's taxonomy places the organism in Eukaryota, Metazoa, Chordata, Actinopteri, Syngnathiformes, Syngnathidae. The record is from RefSeq and is a predicted model, not a curated record.
GUACCCGCACCGACGUCCGUGUGGGAGGAAAAAUAGAUGUUAGUUGUCAUUGUCAUAUAAGGUGAUGGUUAUUAUGGAUAACUGGCAAGAACUGGAGGCAUCAUAUUAAUCGUUCUGUGUGCCAUUUAUUUAGUCUGUGGAUUAUUUGAGCCAUUUUUGUUCUAUCAUUUGUGUUCCCCGGACUAUUUUUUUGACUUUGUGGAUUAUUUAUCGUCAUCAUAUUUAUUUCUAUUGCGCACGCUAAAAAUAAGCCAUAAUUCUUUCGGAAUUAUUUCUGUUUUUUUUUCUUUAUUUUUAUUGUGCUAGUUGGCGUUUUAUAUUUGUCACAAAAAUAAAUGAUCAGAAAUAUAUUCUUACUUCAAUUUCAUAAGUGAACCUUUAAAUCUGUAUUAAUUAUAAAAUACAGGGAAAGAAAAUGACUCCUGGGUCUGUUUCAAAUGAAAAGGAUUUUUAAUACGAGAUUGGUGUGAGUGUGGAGGAGCACUGAUAAGAAACCAAGGAUGGAAGUAGCCAAUGUGGGAGGGGGAAGGGGGGGCUGUGGAUUUAACAACUAAGCGGACUUUGUGGAGAUACGGGUGGUCUCCAGGGGGCUAUUAAUUAGCAGAUGUUCAACUUAGCUGAUAAACUUUUUUUCCACCCUCCCGAGAUGAAUCCUGGUGCAUUUGAGCACUGAAUGGACUCUAAAAAGCUGAAGUGCUUCCUCUCGGAGGCGUCCUCACUUCCCUUUUCGGAGCAGCUGUGAUCUUAAUCCCCUCUUCAUCUUCUUCAUCCUCUUCCCUGCCGUCAGACUUGGAAUAGAUGCCUCCUGACGACAGUGAGAAGAGGACCCUUGGCCUGUGACGGAGGAUUGGAAUUCAAUACUCCAUUUGGCGACACACUCGACCACCCGCCUCGGAUACGGAAAGCCACGACCUAACUGGGAGAGCUGUGAACUUUUUAUUUGGAUUUUUUUUUUUUACUCUGGUGAUAAUUCGUAGUUGCUUAGAAACAGGUU